CUGUGGACUGUGGUAGCGGCACCGGUCUGCAAGCACACGGCGGCACCAGCCGUGACCGGCGCGGCGGGGGGCUCCGUCGCCUCCCUGCUCACCUUUGCCAUGCUCCGCGCGCGACCGCCUCCGUCGCUGGCUUGUGUCUUCGUUACCUGUGUCUCUCCGCUUCACGCAGCCGUUGCGCUCUCCCAGCACGCGCGCCGCCGGCGCCCGGAGCCUUGCCUGCGAUGGCGUGCGUUUGCCACCAUGAUGCGCGCUCCGCGUUGGCGCAAGAUGACCCUACAGAGAGCUCGUCACAAGCCAGUGACUGCACUGGUGCAACGCAGUUUCAGGUACGCCUACGACCCCGCCCCAAUAAACUCGGACUCGGUCACCGGGCUUAUGGCAUAA
Molecule: unclassified non-coding RNA, 384 nt
Filed under: Zea mays
Lineage: Eukaryota; Viridiplantae; Streptophyta; Magnoliopsida; Poales; Poaceae
Description: misc RNA Zm00001eb157990
Source: RNAcentral